This 387-nucleotide ribosomal RNA is filed under the name uncultured bacterium. RNAcentral's name for it is "bacterial SSU rRNA". It matches the Rfam family "Bacterial small subunit ribosomal RNA", at positions 30 to 417 of the family's 1533-position model. The record is from RNAcentral.
AUUGAACGCUGGCGGCAUGCCUUACACAUGCAAGUCGAACGGCAGCACGGGAGUAAUCCUGGUGGCGAGUGGCGAACGGGUGAGUAAUAUAUCGGAACGUGCCCAGUCGUGGGGGAUAACGCAGCGAAAGCUGUGCUAAUACCGCAUACGAUCUAUGGAUGAAAGCGGGGGAUCGCAAGACCUCGCGCGAUUGGAGCGGCCGAUAUCAGAUUAGCUAGUUGGUGGGGUAAAGGCCCACCAAGGCGACGAUCUGUAGCUGGUCUGAGAGGACGACCAGCCACACUGGAACUGAGACACGGUCCAGACUCCUACGGGAGGCAGCAGUGGGGAAUUUUGGACAAUGGGCGCAAGCCUGAUCCAGCAAUGCCGCGUGCAGGAUGAAGGCCU